Molecule: ribosomal RNA, 792 nt
Filed under: uncultured Pelagibacteraceae bacterium
Lineage: Bacteria; Pseudomonadati; Pseudomonadota; Alphaproteobacteria; Candidatus Pelagibacterales; Candidatus Pelagibacteraceae
Description: bacterial SSU rRNA
Rfam family: Bacterial small subunit ribosomal RNA
Source: RNAcentral
GGCACGCCUAACACAUGCAAGUCGAACGAAGUAGCAAUACUUAGUGGCAGACGGGUGAGUAACAUGUAGGUAUCUACCCUAUGGUUUGGAAUAACACGAGGAAACUUGUGCUAAUACCAAAUAAGUCUUUACGGAGAAAGCUUUAUGCGCCAUUGGAUGAGCCUGCAUUUGAUUAGUUUGUUGGUGGGGUAAUGGCCUACCAAGACAAUGAUCAAUAGCUGAUUUGAGAGGAUGAUCAGCCACAUUGGGACUGAGACACGGCCCAAACUCCUACGGGAGGCAGCAGUGGGGAAUCUUGCACAAUGGGGGAAACCCUGAUGCAGCGAUGCCGCGUGAGUGAAGAAGGCCUUUGGGUUGUAAAGCUCUUUCGUCGGGGAAGAAAAUGACUGUACCCGAAUAAGAAGGUCCGGCUAACUUCGUGCCAGCAGCCGCGGUAAUACGAAGGGACCUAGCGUAGUUCGGAAUUACUGGGCUUAAAGAGUUCGUAGGUGGUUAAAAAAGUUGGUGGUGAAAUCCCAGAGCUUAACUCUGGAACUGCCAUCAAAACUUUUUAGCUAGAGUAUGAUAGAGGAAAGUAGAAUUUCUAGUGUAGAGGUGAAAUUCGUAGAUAUUAGAAAGAAUACCAAUUGCGAAGGCAGCUUUCUGGAUCAUUACUGACACUGAGGAACGAAAGCAUGGGUAGCGAAGAGGAUUAGAUACCCUCGUAGUCCAUGCCGUAAACGAUGUGUGUUAGACGUUGGAAAUUUAUUUUCAGUGUCGCAGCGAAAGCAGUAAACACACCGCCUGGGGAGU